RNAcentral lists this small nucleolar RNA (84 nucleotides) under Leptomonas pyrrhocoris. Its description in RNAcentral is "Trypanosomatid snoRNA TB9Cs1H2". It matches the Rfam family "Trypanosomatid snoRNA TB9Cs1H2". Lineage: Eukaryota; Euglenozoa; Kinetoplastea; Trypanosomatida; Trypanosomatidae. The record is from Rfam by way of RNAcentral.
AACGGGACAAUCCGAGGUGUACGUGGCUGUCCCCCCGGUGGGAUUCAAUGCCGUGGUUCGACCUUCUGGUAGUUCCGAAGAGCC